Long non-coding RNA from Triticum aestivum (bread wheat), 3348 nucleotides. RefSeq lists it as uncharacterized. The record is from RefSeq and is a predicted model, not a curated record. Lineage: Eukaryota; Viridiplantae; Streptophyta; Magnoliopsida; Poales; Poaceae. The transcript has 2 exons.
CCCGAACUUGUUUCCUACCACUGGAUUAGUUGCACCAGUCUCGAAGCACUGGAGGGAGAAACGUCAACCAGAAGCUCGUUCGAUGAAAAAGUCAAUCGGCCCGAACGCAAUCCUAUUGAUCCUAUCCAGUCCCCUCCUUCCCCACUCACCCACUUCUCUCUCCCACCUCUGGCCGCCUACUCCGGCAGCUGGUCGCGCUGGUCCGUGCAUGGCGACCGUGAAGCCCGGUACACGCGGCACCACCCGGAGCCUCCCCGUCUCUUGCGCAGGUGAUGAGGCGGCUGUCGGUGAGGUGCCCGAGGUGGUCAGCGGAGGAGACGAAGUUGAGUGCGGCAUGGGGGAGCUCCACUGACCCCCAACAUCAGGGGCGUCACGACUCAUGCGGCGGGACGGGGCGGGCUCCGUUGUCCUCGCCGGCUUCGUGGCUUGGGGGCUUGGGGGAGGGAGCCGCGAGUCCGGUAAUUACUUGCAUGCACUGCGGUGGAGAGUAGCGAUUCCGCAGAUUCCGAUGGAGAGCGGAGGUGGGGGCCCGGUGAUGAGUUCCCUGGGACAUCUCCAUGGAUGCACCCGCGGUAGGGGCGGCGUGAUGGAGUCCUCGCCGACGGCAUCCAUCCUCAGAAGGGAGCGCAGUGGAGAGGUGCUCAUCAAGCUCAGCCAGCUCGCGUUGUACGGCGGGGCGAGGGGGAUCUGGCAGGUCGAUGCGCCGCUGCUCCCCUUCUGCUAAGCCCGGAGGGCCCCUGCGGGCCGUGCUCAUGUCCAGCACGGUCUACUGCCUCAUCUCGUGUUAAGGCUCCAUCAUCACAACCGGGUCCGUCGUGCUCACCGUCAGCGCCAACGACGCUUCAACUCUUCAGCGCGUCAUGCUCACCAUCAGCUGGUGAGCAAUUUUGCCAUGGUGCAGAAUUUUUUGAACAUAAUUUUCCAUGUCCUCAUGAAACAUCCUUUAAGUUUGCCAUGCUACACUAAAAUCUGAGUAGCAGACAUUUUUCCCGUGAUUUGUUUAGUUACUAAAUUUGACAUGCCAGUCGUACAGAAUUUUAACAUUAUUUGAUCCUAUAAUACAUGGCAAUUUCUAAUCACGAUGUUUAGCAUAACAUGGCAAUUUCUUAGAUCAUUACGAAUUCUCACGCCAUGGCAACUUUUAGAAAUUGUUAGUUCAUUCACAUGCCAUUAUUUUUGAUAGUUUUGGCCCUAACAUCAUGGCCCAACUCAGAUUAUUUGUUUCUAAUGAUCAUAUGGCAAAUGUAGGCUUUUUUAGUAACUAUGCGUCAUACGGUUAUAUGGCAAUGAUGUGAUAAUUGCAUUUUAGUAACAAUUUGUCAUCAUUUCAUCAAUGUGGGGGGUCAUUUCUGAAAGUUUCUAAAACAUGGCAAUAUGUGAAAGUUUUCUAAAAUGUGGCAAACUUCUCUAACAUCAAAUAGUUUGCCACCAUUUUUUCUCAAAAUGUAUUUUUCAAAUUUCUCUAACAUCACAAACUUACUAUACGAACCAUGGCAAACUUAGUUAAUGGAUCAUGGCAAGUUUAAUUCAAAUAGCAUGGAAAAUUUUGUCUUAUCGUUUGCAAAAUUUACAUAUAUGACAUUUCUUCUUUAAAGAUUUCACAUGGCAAAUUUAACUCAAGUCCCAUGUCUAAAUUUGCCAUGUUUUUAGACAUCUCCAAAUUUGCCAUGUCAAACGAUCACAAAAACAUGGCAAAUUCUAAAAGUGUCUAAAACAUGGAAAACUUGCCAUCCUUCAAAUAGUUUUGCCACCAUUUUCUUUGAAUGUAUUUUUUAUUUUCUCUAACAUUUGCAAAAUUACUAUAUGGACUAUGGCAAAAUUAGUUGGAUCAUGGCAAGUUUAAUUCAAGUACAAUGGCAAAAUUAUUUUUAUCUUACCAUUUUGUGAUGUUUUAUGUAAAUGACAUUUUCUUUAAAGAUUUGACAUGGCAAGUUCCACUCAAGUCCCAUGCAUAAAGUUGCCAUGUUUUUAGACAUCUCUUAAAUUGCCAUGACAAAACGAUCACUAAAUCAUGACAAAUUCUGAAAGUUUCUAAAACAUGGCAAACUUGCCAUCGUUCAAAUAGUUUGCCACCCACUUUCUUCAAUUACAUAUUAUUUUCUAUUUCACUAACUUACUAUGUGGACCAUGGCAAAUUGUUUUUCAUUCUUUUAAGUUUUACAUAUCAUUCUUGCCAUGUCAAUCCACUAUAUUGUAUAUACUUGCCAUGUAAACAUAAGUCUUUUAGUUUAGAUAUCUCUGAAAAUUGCCGUGAUAAAUGUCUAUAAUUCAUAUACCUUUUUUUUCUUUUCUCUUCCACAUGGAAACAAUUACUUUCUAUGAGAUCAUGGCAUAUUAAUUUCAUGGAGCAUGUCAUUUGUAGUUUAUACAUCAUGGGAAAUUAUCUUUCUUUAUUAACAAUGGUAAAAUAAUUAGUUUCUAAUGAUAGAUGGCAACCUAAGUUCAUGGCAAAUGUAGUUUGCGGUGCACGAGAUUUUUUUAUUAACAUGGCAAAUUUACCUAUAUCCCCAUGGCAAUAUUUAUCUUUUAUUGCCAUGGCAAGUUUUAUUUUUUAUUUGCCAUGGUAAUUUACCUUUAUUAACAUUGAAAAUUUACCUAAAUUCCCAUGGCAAUUUUUAACUUUUAUUGCCAUGGCAAGUUUUACGUUUUAAUUGACAUGGCUAAUUUACCUUUAUUAACAUGUCAAAUUUACUUAAAUUCCCAUUGCAAUUUUUAACUUUUAUUGCCAUGGCAAGUUUUACUUUUUAUUUGACCUUUAUUAACAUGGCUGGUUUUACUUUUUUUUGCCAUGUCAAAUACAUACAAAUUAACAUGAUUUUGGUUAUGAUUGUGGCAAUUUUAACUAUAUGCACCAUGACCAAUUUUUCUUUCUUUUUGCAACAUCACAUAUUUCUUUUGCACGGGACAGUGGCAAAUAUAGUCUAUGCAUCACGGAAAUUUUGGUGUAUGGAUCAUGGCAUUUUGUAGUCUACAUUUUAUUCUAUGGAUCAUCCCAUGAGAUUAUAGCCUAUGCAUUUCUAUCAUAAGAUCAUGGCAACUUUCUGUUGGUUUUUUCAUUUAGUUUUUAAUACACAAUUUUUUUCCAUGUACAAUGGGAAAUCCAAACUUGCCAUGUAUUUUUUUAGAGAAUAAGAUUUGUAAAGGUUGCCAUGUGUAACAUUUUUUCCUUAGUUCAUAUUCAUCAUCACAAUUUUGUACUAAUUUUUCUUUAUUAUCAUGCAUGUUUUAUUUUUGUAACAUACUGGACGUAGCCAUUUUAUUAUAUCUCAGUUGGCAACUAAUCACUCAUUGUAAAUUGGCAACUAAUCACUCAUUGUAAAUCCUAAUGCAGUAUCAUUUUCUGAAUUU